RNAcentral lists this ribosomal RNA (267 nucleotides) under bacterium 22C7. RNAcentral's name for it is "partial 16S ribosomal RNA". It matches the Rfam family "Bacterial small subunit ribosomal RNA", at positions 60 to 314 of the family's 1533-position model. The record is from RNAcentral.
UGCAGUCGAGCGAACAGAAGGGAGCUUGCUCCCGGAUGUUAGCGGCGGACGGGUGAGUAACACGUGGGUAACCUGCCUGUAAGACUGGGAUAACUCCGGGAAACCGGAGCUAAUACCGGAUAGUUCCUUGAACCGCAUGGUUCAAGGAUGAAAGACGGUUUCGGCUGUCACUUACAGAUGGACCCGCGGCGCAUUAGCUAGUUGGUGGGGUAAUGGCUCACCAAGGCGACGAUGCGUNNNCGACCUGAGAGGGUGAUCGGCCACACU